AUGCUCACUGAAGCAGCACAUAUACUAAAAUUGGAACAACACAGAGAAGAUCAGCAUGGCUCCUGCACAAGGAUGACACGCAAACUCAUGAAGAGGCACAUUUAAAAAUUUAU
This 113-nucleotide small nuclear RNA is filed under the name Mandrillus leucophaeus (drill). The record is from RNAcentral. Lineage: Eukaryota; Metazoa; Chordata; Mammalia; Primates; Cercopithecidae.